This 497-nucleotide ribosomal RNA is filed under the name uncultured bacterium. Its description in RNAcentral is "partial 16S ribosomal RNA". It matches the Rfam family "Bacterial small subunit ribosomal RNA", at positions 28 to 507 of the family's 1533-position model. The record is from RNAcentral.
GACGAACGCUGGCGGCGUGCCUAAUACAUGCAAGUUGAGCGAUGAAGCUUGGUGCUUGCACCAAUUUGAAGAGCAGCGAACGGGUGAGUAACGCGUGGGGAAUCUGCCUUUGAGCGGGGGACAACAUUUGGAAACGAAUGCUAAUACCGCAUAACAACUUUAAACAUAAGUUUUGAGUUUGAAAGAUGCAAUUGCAUCACUCAAAGAUGAUCCCGCGUUGUAUUAGCUAGUUGGUGAGGUAAAGGCUCACCAAGGCGAUGAUACAUAGCCGACCUGAGAGGGUGAUCGGCCACAUUGGGACUGAGACACGGCCCAAACUCCUACGGGAGGCAGCAGUAGGGAAUCUUCGGCAAUGGACGAAAGUCUGACCGAGCAACGCCGCGUGAGUGAAGAAGGUUGUCGGAUCGUAAAACUCUGUUGGUAGAGAAGAACGUUGGUGAGAGUGGAAAGCUCAUCAAGUGACGGUAACUACUCAGAAAGGGACGGCUAACUACGUG